Misgurnus anguillicaudatus (oriental weatherfish) is the source of this 898-nucleotide non-coding RNA. Lineage: Eukaryota; Metazoa; Chordata; Actinopteri; Cypriniformes; Cobitidae. The record is from RefSeq and is a predicted model, not a curated record.
AGAAAAGUUAUAGGCAUAUUACAACAUGAAACACUCAAUAACAGAGAAUGCCAGAUUAUGGAUUAUCGAAAGAGGUUCAUCAAGCACUGUAGUGAUGUUCGGCUCAGGAAAUUUCUGCGUUUCUGCACAGGAGCUGACCUCCUUGUUGCAAGGUUUAUUCAUGUCCGAUUUGUGCAGCCACAAAGUUCCUUCACAAGAUCUCCCCAGUCCCACACCUGUGGAUGUGUGUUAGAAGUUCCAAACAAUUAUACUUCAUACCCUGAGCUUGCAGAGGAGUUCAUAAAUAUCCUUGAUGCAAACAUAUGGGUGAUGGAUAUUGUGUAAAGGUGGUCAGACAGUAUGUGACUGUUUCUUUGUCUCAUUCACAGUCUCCAUCUCACACUCAGUUUCCUGACAUAAACUUAUUUUUGUUGUUAUUUUUGUUAUCCUGCACAUCAAGAUAAUGUUUCAUAAAAGCUCAGAUGUUCUUACAGCAGUGUUACAAUGUGGCAUAUGUGUUACAAACUACAAAGCACAUACAGAUUCACAUUUAGUUUUAAUGUAGGCCUACUCAGGUUUUCAAAAUUUAUACUGUCUUAAUAGAAUUCUGCAAUACAGUACAUUGUAAAAAAGUUUCAUGUUUGAAAUGUUGAAAUUUUAUUUAUUAGAAGUUCAUUAAUUAGAAACUGAAUACAGUUUUCAAAAAUAAAGAAAAAGAAAAAAGAAAGCUGUCUCCUUUUAUUAAAAUAUGCAUAUGAAGUAGGCCUAUUCAAGACUUCAGCAAUAACAUUAAUGACAUAUCUACUACAUCUGUGAAAUGAAUGGAACUAUAAUAAUAAUAAUCCAAUGAGAGAACUGUCUGUUAAACUGUCCAUUACAACUUUUUAGUGCUAAUGGCUUUUUAACAUGUCUUUAUCUC